This 468-nucleotide ribosomal RNA is filed under the name uncultured bacterium. RNAcentral's name for it is "partial 16S ribosomal RNA". It matches the Rfam family "Bacterial small subunit ribosomal RNA", at positions 28 to 507 of the family's 1533-position model. The record is from RNAcentral.
GACGAACGCUGGCGGCGCGCCUAACACAUGCAAGUCGAACGGAGUCACGAGGAGCUUGUUUUUCUUGACUUAGUGGCGCACGGGUGAGUAACGCGUGAGUAACCUGCCCUGGAGUGGGGGACAACAUUUGGAAACGACUGCUAAUACCGCAUAAGACCACGGAUCCGCAUGGCUCUGCGGGAAAAGGUUUUAUUGGCUUCAGGAUGGACUCGCGUCCAAUUAGCUAGUUGGUGAGGUCACGGCCCACCAAGGCGACGAUGGGUGGCCGGACUGGGAGGUUGACCGGCCACAUUGGGACUGAGGCACAGCCCAGACUCCUACGGGAGGGAGCAGUGGGGGAUAUUGCACAAUGGGGGAAACCCUGAUGCAGCGACGCCGCGUGGAGGAAGAAGGGUUUCGGAUUGUAAAUUCCUGUCGUAAGGGACGAUAAUGACGGUACCUAAAAAGAAAGCACCGGCUAACUACGUG